AUGGGCCCGCCGCGGGCGCGCGGCGCUCGCUGCGCACGAGCCCUGCCAACCGUCGCCACGAGCCCCCACCUGCAACCGCCAGCCGCACACGCUCAGCCUGCCCCCGCGAAGGACCCGGGUCAGGGCGCCCACACAGGGCCACUCGCACCCCGAGCCGCGGCCGCGGUCCCUGCCCUCCUCUGCACGAAGCGGGGCUCUGCCCCCACGGGCUACCGGGGAAAGGGGGACGGGGAAAAGGCGCUGGCCUUGGCCGAAGGGGCUGCUGCGGCCACGACGCUCGACGCGCCGUGGAAGGGUGGCGGGGGACAGUUACCUCCCGGCUGUGAGAAGCAGGAGGAGCCACGGCCGCUGCGGGGGGCUGAAGGGACCCAGCUCCGCAGUGCGCUGGGGAGGGAGGCUCCGCGCUCAGCGGCAAGGACUCAAGCGUCUGACGUCCGGCCAGCAGAACCGGCGGCGAGCCCCCACCUCUCGGCACUGAUCCCGCCUGAUUCUGCGCCGCCGCCGUCCCCGCCUGCGGUGCGAGCUGAGAGGUGGGGCCAGACGGGCAGGGCGCAGCCGGAGAGGUGUUCCGAGUCAGAGGGGAAGCGGCGGCGGAAACGGCCCCGGCGGCGGCGGCACAGAGCGCCCGCCCCUUCCCCCUCCGCCCCCCGCGCGCCGGCAGCACGCGCGGGCGGGGCACCUCGCCCGACUGCGGAGAGGGCGCACGCGGCCGUGGGCGUGGCUUAUCACGGCAGAAGAGGGGCAGGAUUGGGUGAAGGCGGGAAGAAGCGGGGCUUCGAUCCCAAACCAUGGGCCUGCCCCUCUCGCCGUCUGCGCGGAAGAUUGACAGGUUCGCCGACCACUCGGAAGACGGAAAGCGAACGCCAGACAGCGGGAGGGGGCGGGACCCGCUGGUGGGCAGGGGAAGUGGCCAAUAAGCGAGGCCCUGGGCGUGAGCGGCAUGAGGGAGUGACGGUCGGGCUGUGGUGCCGGCCGUUGGUGCUGUUCCCGCCCGUUGCCCCUUCAGCGCGGCUGGCGGUGGGCUCCCGGCUGCCUCUGCUUCGGCCCCCUCCCCGCCCUUGA
Molecule: long non-coding RNA, 1062 nt
Filed under: Apteryx haastii (Great spotted kiwi)
Lineage: Eukaryota; Metazoa; Chordata; Aves; Apterygiformes; Apterygidae
Description: lncRNA (ENSAHAG00000013250.1)
Source: RNAcentral